Molecule: ribosomal RNA, 260 nt
Filed under: uncultured bacterium
Lineage: Bacteria
Description: partial small subunit ribosomal RNA
Rfam family: Bacterial small subunit ribosomal RNA
Source: RNAcentral
AGGACGAACGCUGGCGGCGUGCUUAACACAUGCAAGUCGAGCGGAAAGGCCCUUCGGGGUACUCGAGCGGCGAACGGGUGAGUAACACGUGAGCAACCUGCCCCUGGCUCUGGGAUAGCCUCCGGAAACGGGGAUUAAUACCGGACAUUCACUUCCUUCCGCAUGGUUGGUGGUGGAAAGUUUUUUCGGCCGGGGAGGGGCUCGCGGCCUAUCGAGCUUGUUGGCGGGGUAACGGCCCACCAAGGCGACGACGGGUAGCC